Molecule: ribosomal RNA, 330 nt
Filed under: uncultured eukaryote
Lineage: Eukaryota
Description: partial 18S ribosomal RNA
Rfam family: Eukaryotic small subunit ribosomal RNA
Source: RNAcentral
CCCUUAGAUGUUCUGGGCUGCACGCGCGCUACACUGAAGCGUUCAACGAGUAUUCACCUUGCCCGGGAGGGUUGGGUAAUCUUUUGAAAACGCUUCGUGAUGGGGAUAGAUUAUUGCAAUUAUUAAUCUUCAACGAGGAAUUCCUAGUAAGCGCAAGUCAUCAGCUUGCGUUGAUUACGUCCCUGCCCUUUGUACACACCGCCCGUCGCUACUACCGAUUGAAUGGUUUAGUGAGGCCUCGGGAUAUGCGUUGGUAGGCGCUGGCAACAGUGACUCCAAAGCGAGAACUUGGUCAAACUUGAUCAUUUAGAGGAAGUAAAAGUCGUAACA